UUUAAAAUGCUACUAUUUGAAAGAAACAAAUUUCAACAUUUUAACAAUUUAAAUUGCUAAAAUUUGUCAACCUGGAAACUUUCUUGACACUUGUUUUAUUCUAAAUUCUUGUGGGAGGUAUGCAAAGGGAAAAAAAACCUUUAAAAACAAUGAUUUAGCUGAACAUUACCAUUAAAAUAUUAGUCUAUACUAGAAGUUAACAAUGAUAAUAUCCCCUCAGUUUCAGACAUUAGAUAAUUCCUUGUAUCUUGUAAGUGGAGGAGAGGGAGAGAGAGAGAAAAUGACAGAAGAAUUGUUUCAGGUAUGAUGUAAAACCAAGAGUUAUCUGACUGAAAUAGGUUUAAUUACUGGUAUUCCUGAAUGCGGUUGACAAUAAUUCUGUAUUAUGUCUCCUAUAAGAGGAGAAUUGCUACCGAAUGGAUCAUGUGUUUCAAGAUAGUCUUCUAUGUCAAAGUGAGGGUUUUUUUGUUGUCGUCAUUAAGUGUAAUUGCUUUAUUAUAAUUCCUACCAUUGCUGCUACUACUACUAUUACAUAGAUGUUACAUAGGUGAAUCAUGUUCAGGGCACAGUAAAUUUGACCAGUUUUUCAUUGGUCAUCAUAGGCUGUUGUCCACUGGCCAAAUUUGUGAGGCCAUAUGUGAUUUUAAUAUCUUUUCUGGACUGAAAACUAUUAUAACAUCUGCAACGAAUAUUAUUUUAUGUUUAAAAAUCUUAUUUUCAUUGAUGCUUCCAAAUAGUUCCAGUUACCAAAUUGCUAUUUUCAUAACAUCUCUGCCUUAAGAGGAAAACCUUCUCAAUUGAAGUUCUCUUUUCUUCUAAUUGGGAAGAAAAAACUUUUUCAAUAAAUAAAAAUCACACAGAUGCAUACACAUAUUGCAUUUUAGAAUGAAGACAUAAUGAACUAGCAUUAUGCACUUAGGGAACAUGGAGAAAAUAAAUGAUUAAAAAUAAUCCCAUUAUCCAAAUGCCAUGAUCAACAUUGAUGUACUCUAUGAGGGGGAAGGAAACCAGAAAAAAAUUCAAUUGAAAAGUUAAUGUUUUAAUAAAAGCUAGAACAUUUUGUUAUACUUUGCCCCAAUGAUGUUUACUCAAAAGCUUUUCCAUGAUGACAAUUUGUUUCAUAUUUUUCAUAAUAGAAAUAUUAAAAUAAGAGAGUAUCUGUGAUAUUGGACUUUUAAUGUUUCCUUUGUCCUAUUCUUAUGUGCUAUUAAUUUUUUCUAAUGUGUAUAUUAUUCUGGACUACACCUUAUUUGUACUACCUACUUAUAUCUAAUGUGUGGGCAUAUCUCUGACUGUAUUUUGUCUGUUUUGUUAUCUCUCUGAUCAUACAAAUGGACUGUGUUUUCCAGCUUCCUUUUUAGUAAUGUGUGGCCACGUCACUUACAUUCAGAAUAUUAAAUACGAAGCAUCCUGCUCCCCUUCCUGGACUACACACUAAACACUCUCCAAUGUGCAGACCAUGCUUUUCCCAUCAGUUGGCUGAAUGGAGAGGAACAGAGAUUUGAAGUUAAAUGUGCGAGACGCAGAAAUAGAACAUUGUGUAAUGGAACAGAUGCUGUAGCAAUGACUCAAGGUCCUUAUAGGAAAUAAGAAGAUAAAAGAACAAGGCCAACAUCACCAUGAGGAAACAAUUAUACAAAUAUAGAAUAUGGGACAUUCUAGACGACAAACCAGACUGAAAUUGUCAGUAUCAUUAAAAAUAAAUGAGACUCUUCCAUAUCAGGACAAGACUAUAAAAGAAUAAAGGAAUUGUAAACUUUCCUGGGAAGAUAAACUGGAACCAGAGGAAGACACUGGGCAAGAAGAACAAUAAAAAUGUUUAGAUUGGAGGUAAAAAUGCAAAUCUAUUUAUCAGAAAGGUCAUGUCUACAGUCAACAACUGCUCAAAUAGAAGCUAUCAAGCAAAGCUCAGCAAACUUUUCUGUGAAGAGCCAGACAGCAAAAAUCUCCGGCUUUGUGGUCCAUAUGGUCGGCACUGUAACUACUCAAGUCUGCCAUCGUAGCAUGAAAACAACCAUGGACCAUAUGCAAUUGAAUGGGUGUGGCUGUGUUCCAAAAACCUUAUUUACAAAAACAAGGGAAGCAUUAGACUUGCCCUUUAGACCUUCAUUGGCUGAUUUUUGCUUUACAUAAUUAAGACACUUUAGGGUCAUCCUCCAUGAAAUAGCAGAUUGCCUGACUUCUACUUUAAAUAAGCCCUGACUCAGAGUGGAAAUCAGUCAGCUCUGUUGAAGGAACUCCUGAGCAGAAAAGGAAAAAUCCCAGGACAUUAGAACACAUUGAGUAUUUAAAGAUUCGUUCAAAGGAGAACCUUCAGUAAGCAUUAGAGUAAGCAAUUUUAUACAUAUAUAUAUAUAAUUUAUGUGUAUAUAUAUAUAAUUUAUAUAUACUUAAAGAGCUGAGUCAACUCAGGCUGUAGAAAUUGAAUGUGUCAUUUUACAGAGCCUCAACAUAACAAAAAUGAAAUUUCACUAAUCCACCUUGCCAGCUUAUACAACUUUUGAGAGAGAAAGGCUCUCAGUAAUAAUAUUAAUUAUUAUUAAAUGUUACCAGCUCCUGUUGUAGAGAAUAUGAGCAGCAAUAUUUAUAGUCUCUUGGUAAAAUGUAUUUUAACUUUUUUAGGACAUUGUAGAUUUGACUAUCAUUUUCUAACACAACAUGUUGUAAAAUUGCCAUUUAAUAUUUUUGAGAGCUAGCUAGAGCAAGCUAUUCUUUCUUAAGUGGCACAUGUUCAUUUUCUGUCUUUUCCUCAUCUUUACCACCUGCUAGCAGUGUUUCGGGCAACAAAACAGCAGUGUUCUCAGCAGAGGGUAUAGCCUCCUCCAAAAUGGUAGCAAUUCAGAUGGUUCAUAAUAAAACAAAACCUUUAAGACCGUGAUAAAUGUUUUUUAUUUCUUUUUCUUUUAAAUUCUUCCUUUCCACUUUAAUCUUUAAACACUGGGUUGAAAAGGAUGAUAAAAAAUCCUAUUUGGGGUGUCUGUGUGUACACAUAGGAGUAAAACUGAAAACAAAAAGAGUUCAUUUGACUAAAUAUAUCACAGUCUGUCUUUUUUAUUCAGUUAUUUUUAAUGAUAUAUAUGUAGAAGUAGUCAUCUGCUAUCUAGAAAGCAACUAUUUUUUCCAUUAUUUUAUGUUGACUGCUUACUAAUUAUUUUUUCCUAUGGGAACAAAUGUUCUUUCUUUCCAGAUAGAAAGUGAUGCCCCAAAUUAAUUAUGUCUCUGUCAUUUAACCAAAACCCUUAUGCCAGUUAUAAGAAAUUUUGGUGCUAUAUAAAAAAUUUGAAGGGGUGAAAACAAUAAAUACUAAAUAAUGGUUCUGUUUAAGCAACAUUUUGAAUAGUGAAUGACUCUGCUUAAACAGUAUAUUUAGAAUGCACUAUUGGUAGAAAAAUAUCUUUAUGAUUUUCUAAAUUGUUUAUAUCUUAUGGGUAUUAUAUAUCUUGCACUUCAAAGGAAGUUAAAACUUCUCAUUAAGAGGAAAAGGAACUGUUCUAAUCAAAACACAAAAUAAGGUAUUUUGAAUUGUUUUCUAUAGUAGUAAGAGAAUAAAUGAAAUUAAUGAUCAGUUUAUAAGAACUAAACAGUUAUGAAUGCCCAUUUAUCUUCAAGGAAAUAAAUAUGAUGACAUAUUGGACUAAGUAGGAUGUUUUCACUUACAGUAUAAAAAUAAAACUGUGUGGGUACAUUUUAUUAUUUUAUAGCAGUUUUACCAGAAUUAAGUGAAGACUUGAAAGGCUAAAAGUAUUUUUUUAAUUACAUUAUAGUGCUUUAGUAUUUUUGAGAUAAAGAACAGUCAAAAAAAUGAUAAUUAUAAGGGCAACACUAUAAAGUGUGCUCAUAUUCAUUUGUAAGUUAUCACACUGACUUGCUAAACAUAAGAAGAAAUUACAAAACAGGUGAUAUAAUUCUACCUACUAAAAGUUAAAUUUAAUUGAAUAAAUUUAUUUAAGCACUUACUUUUGAAAGAUAUUGUGUUAAGUGAUAGGCUUAUAAAAGUAAAUAAUCCAUCAUCAUCUUCAAGAAAUGUACAGUCUCUUAGGAAGAUACACAAGUUAAUAGAUCAACUAUUUCAUUACAGUGUGAUAAAUUUUCUAAAAGAAAGAACAAAAUAUCCUACAAGUUCACAAAAGAGAUUGCCCAAACUCAACAUAUAUUAGGAGUAAAACACUUUGGGAAAAGUUUCCUAAAGAAAGUCAACUGGAUAAAAUAUUAAAGCUUUUGUAGUUAGAAUGAUUCUCCUGCAGAGAGAAAUAAUAAAAUAGAAGAGAAAAAAUAAAUUUGAAAGCAAUGUAGAAUGAUGAAAGCUAACAGAAGCUGGAGGGGAGUCUGCUCUUAAACAGAAACUGGAGCAACUGAGAUUUUUUGAGUUGGCAGAUUUUUGUCUGAGGGUACCCUUUGAUUGGGCACUGCUCCUACAGUAGAAAAUCAUGGCCUUGUUAGCUCUAUGUGUCAGAGGACAAAGUUUAGUACUGGGAAAACAUGUGGAAAUUUAGAGAUGAAAAUCUGGAAAAGAGGAAUUUGCAUAAGAGAUGAAAACAAAAAAAUGCGUAAAAAACUGCACACUGAAUUUUUGUGUGUAAAACACUGAAUUUUUAAUGUAUAAAAAAGAAAAAGAGUAUAGGGUCCUGACAAAAGUAUAGCAACUCAAAUCUGAAAGAUGUGAGUGGAGAGUUUAGUGGCUGCCCACAAAUGGGAAAGGCAAGACAUCAUUUGUUAUAAGAAAAUCCAGUAUCUCUAAGAUGUAUAAUUUAUUAUGUCCAUUCAAAAAUCAGGAACAUGAAAAAGAAACAUUAAAACAUGGUAUUUACAUGUAGUUAAUAGAAAACAUUCUUUAAAUUAUUAAGGUAUUGUAAUUAGCAGUCUAAGAGUUUAAAGUAGCUAUUAAAAUAUAUUCAAUGAUUUAAAGGAAAAUAUAAAUGAAUAAAUAAAACAGAUGGGGAGUAUCAACAGAUUAGAACUAUAAAAGAACCAAAUCAGAGCACUGAAGUCACGAAGUACAAUAACUGAAAUGAAUAUUUUACUCCAUGAGAUUGGUAAGAGAUAGGAGGCAGUUAGUAAACUUGAAUGGUGAUCAGUUAAAAUACUGAACUGAAUACUAGAGAGAAAUAUUAAGCACACUAGCAUAUGUAUAAUUGGAGUCCCAUAAGAGAGGGCAGAGAGAAUAGGACAGAAAAUUACUUGAAUAUAUAUUAAAGCAAAAAUAUCACAAAUUUGGAGAAAAAGCAUCAAACUACAGAUCUAAGAACUUCAACAGACCACAUAAUUGUGAAAAUGUAGAUUUCAAAAGAUAAAGAGUAACACCUAAAAGUGUUCAGAUUUAAAUGACAUGUUACAAACAUGGGCACAGGAAAUAGAAUAAAAACUGACUUCUUAUUAAGAAAAAUAUGGAGGUUAGACGACAGUAGAACAGUGUCUCUAAUGUGCUGAAAUAAAAACGAUACUCUCAAUAACCUGGAAUGCUAUAUUUAAGAAAAUGUAUCUUUAAAA
This is a non-coding RNA of Microcebus murinus (gray mouse lemur), 5487 nucleotides long. The record is from RefSeq and is a predicted model, not a curated record. Lineage: Eukaryota; Metazoa; Chordata; Mammalia; Primates; Cheirogaleidae.